This 968-nucleotide long non-coding RNA is filed under the name Marmota monax (woodchuck). The record is from RNAcentral. Lineage: Eukaryota; Metazoa; Chordata; Mammalia; Rodentia; Sciuridae.
GAUAAGUACAGGCCCCAAACCCUAGUGCUCAGACCCACAGGCCCUUGUGGAGGGCAGCCUGCACCCUGGGUGAGAGUUUAUAGGUGCCCUCAGCCCAGAGGGUCCCCCACCUCUUAAGAUACAAACCGAGAGCCAGGGAGGCCUCUCACAAGUAUAGACCUUUCCAGCUGGCAGAGCUCACCUAAGCCAUCUGCCUAACAACCUUUUUAGAUCCAGUCUGGCCACCCAGAAGGACCAGCCAACAUCUCCUCCCAGGCCCACCCCUUUUCAGACAGAUGCCAGGCCCUGGUAACAGGACCCUCAGCACAUGUCCUCUUCUGAGGUCUCUGUCACAGUCACAUGUCAUCACCCUCCCUCCCACCAGGCUGGGUUCACCUGCCCUCAGCACGGCAUGGUUUCAGCAGUGGGUAGAAGUGCUCCUUGACGUAGUUUAAAAGGGGUGUGAUGCUCAUUCAGAGCUGACAUGACCUCCACCACAGCCCAGGCUACCCUGAUGGACCCCAGCACUGUCCCAGGCUGCCAGUCUCCAAGGGCAGAGACCUCAGACCAUUAGGCCCAGAACAUUCUCCCUUAACAUGGGCACACUCUCAAGAGUGUGCACCCACAUUGCUAACAGGUGACCUUCAGCCCUGGGAAGGUAAGGGAGGAGGGCUCAGGACAUUCCAGAUGUAGGGCAUGUCCAAUAUUUUCCAUCCUAGAGGGCAGGGUCACAUCAGCAGUACUGGGUUCUGGUCAGCUACAGAUGCCCCCUCUAGCAAACCAGGGCCAGAGAUGCCCUGGUUCCCUGAAGGUCCCACCUCCAUGUCUCUCAGCCUUCAUAGCCUCCACAAGUUGGCAAGGGGCUGGUAUGGUAGAUGCCAGGACUCCUGGAAGGGGGGUGGUGCCUAGAAUUUCAUUCCUCAUAAUUCUCCCGAACGUAUUUUUUAAAAUAUAUUUUUAUUUGUAGAUGGACACAAUAUCUUUAUUUA